Molecule: ribosomal RNA, 157 nt
Filed under: Basidiomycota sp. NFLI 2000-111/27/1
Lineage: Eukaryota; Fungi; Basidiomycota
Description: 5.8S ribosomal RNA
Rfam family: 5.8S ribosomal RNA
About the family: 5.8S ribosomal RNA (5.8S rRNA) is a component of the large subunit of the eukaryotic ribosome.
Source: RNAcentral
UAACUUUCAGCAACGGAUCUCUUGGCUCUCGCAUCGAUGAAGAACGCAGCGAAAUGCGAUAAGUAAUGUGAAUUGCAGAAUUCAGUGAAUCAUCGAAUCUUUGAACGCACCUUGCGCCCCUUGGUAUUCCGAGGGGCAUGCCCGUUUGAGUGUCAUU